AAAUGAAUUGACGGGGACCCGCACAAGCAGCGGAGCAUGUGGUUUAAUUCGAAGCAACGCGAAGAACCUUACCUGGAUUUGACAUCCCUUGGACCGCUUCUUAACCGGAGCCUUCCCUUCGGGGACCAAGGAGACAGGUGGUGCAUGGUUGUCGUCAGCUCGUGUCGUGAGAUGUUGGGUUAAGUCCCGCAACGAGCGCAACCCUUGUUUUUAGUUGCCAUCAAGUAAAGUUGGGCACUCUAGAAAGACUGCCAAGUUAAACUUGGAGGAAGGUGGGGAUGACGUCAAAUCAUCAUGCCCCUUAUGUCCAGGGCUACACACGUGCUACAAUGGCCGAUACAAAGGGCAGCAAGAGGGUAACCUUAAGCCAAUCCCAUAAAGUCGGUCCCAGUUCGGAUUGUGGGCUGCAACUCGCCCAUAUGAAGCAGGAGUUGCUAGUAAUCGCGGAUCAGCAUGCCGCGGUGAAUACGUUCCCGGGUCUUGUACACACCGCCCGU
Molecule: ribosomal RNA, 497 nt
Filed under: uncultured bacterium
Lineage: Bacteria
Description: bacterial SSU rRNA
Rfam family: Bacterial small subunit ribosomal RNA
Source: RNAcentral